CAUCUGCUUUACAAAUGAAGUCGUUCCACUCUAUGCCCAAUAUACAACGUUGGCAUUUUAUGUGGAAAGACUCCAGCUUUGCCCACUCUGAGUGGCGCAGUCCUAAUGUUUCGCAACCGUACAGCAGUACAGAGAGGAUACAGCUCGAUUAGAUCCUGAACUUGGUUGUCGUGCCGAGAUGAUGCUGAUUCCGUCUUCAUUGUAAACGACCCAUGACAGAGGCUGCAAUGCCACACUCAGGCACCUAAAUAAAUGGCCUGACCUUUCUCAAAUGCUGAAUACCAAGAACUCCUCACUCGAAUCUGCCGAAGCCGUGGCUGUUCAGCUCCUCUGAAAAUCAAUCCACUCGUUUAGAUGCCUGAAUAUGAAUGUUAGUGCCAGACUUUGGACAGUGACAUAGGAAGACAUUGGCCUGAGCCUAUGCAUGGACUCUCAUCCUACAAUCCAGCCCCUCAACAGAUACAUCCCAGCUUCUGACUGUGAGCCAUUCAGCUACACUGGGGAGGCCUAGAUGCUAGGCCCACAUGAGAGAGGGAAGGAUUUCAGGCCCAAGGCCCAAGUGGAGCAGGAAGAAGCACACGCUCACCUCAGUUGCCUUCUUUGCUGAGGGCGCACUGUCCAGCACGCCGGCAGACAGACCCAGAUCAGAAGGCCUGGACUUGGUACCUGAACGCCAGAAGGGCUGAGGUGCUGUUUCCCGAGGAGCUGUUCCAGGACUAGCGAGGAGCCUUUCCAAGCAUCACAGAAGUACGGGCCACAGUUAACAUGGCAUCGAGUUGUUUGUUGCCUAAUAAAGCACGAGCCGGGCUGCCCACUGCCC
This is a long non-coding RNA of Malaclemys terrapin pileata, 820 nucleotides long. RefSeq lists it as uncharacterized. The record is from RefSeq and is a predicted model, not a curated record. The transcript is spliced from 5 exons. NCBI's taxonomy places the organism in Eukaryota, Metazoa, Chordata, Testudines, Emydidae.